RNAcentral lists this ribosomal RNA (510 nucleotides) under uncultured bacterium. Its description in RNAcentral is "partial 16S ribosomal RNA". It matches the Rfam family "Bacterial small subunit ribosomal RNA", at positions 28 to 507 of the family's 1533-position model. The record is from RNAcentral.
GACGAACGCUGGCGGCGUGCUUAACACAUGCAAGUCGAACGAAGAGCGAUGGAAGCUUGCUUCUAUCAAUAUUAGUGGCUAACGGGUGAGUAACGCGUAAUCAACCUGCCCUUCAGAGGGGGACAACAGUUGGAAACGACUGCUAAUACCGCAUACGAUCUAACCUCGGCAUCGAGGAUAGAUGAAAGGUGGCCUCUACAUGUAAGCUAUCACUGAAGGAGGGGAUUGCGUCUGAUUAGCUAGUUGGAGGGGUAACGGCCCACCAAGGCGAUGAUCAGUAGCCGGGCUGAGGGGAUGGACGGCCACAUUGGGAAUGAGACACGGCCCAGACUCCUAAGGGAGGCAGCAGUGGGGAAUCUUCCGCAAUGGACGAAAGUCUGACGGAGCAACGCCGCGUGAGUGAUGACGGCCUUCGGGUUGUAAAGCUCUGUUAAUCGGGACGAAAGGCCUUCUUGCGAAUAGUUAGAAGGAUUGACGGUACCGGAAUAGAAAGCCACGGCUAACUACGUG